AGUGAACGCUGGCGGUAGGCCUAACACAUGCAAGUCGAACGGCAGCACAGAGGAGCUUGCUCCUUGGGUGGCGAGUGGCGGACGGGUGAGGAAUACAUCGGAAUCUACUCUGUCGUGGGGGAUAACGUAGGGAAACUUACGCUAAUACCGCAUACGACCUACGGGUGAAAGCAGGGGAUCUUCGGACCUUGCGCGAUUGAAUGAGCCGAUGUCGGACUAGCUAGUUGGUGGGGUAAAGGCCCACCAAGGCGACGAUCCGUAGCUGGUCUGAGAGGAUGAUCAGCCACACUGGAACUGAGACACGGUCCAGACUCCUACGGGAGGCAGCAGUGGGGAAUAUUGGACAAUGGGCGCAAGCCUGAUCCAGCCAUACCGCGUGGGUGAAGAAGGCCUUCGGGUUGUAAAGCCCUUUUGUUGGGAAAGAAAUCCAUCUGGUUAAUACCCGGGUGGGAUGACGGUACCCAAAGAAUAAGCACCGGCUAACUUCGUGCCAGCAGCCGCAGUAA
This 506-nucleotide ribosomal RNA is filed under the name uncultured bacterium. RNAcentral describes it as "partial 16S ribosomal RNA". It matches the Rfam family "Bacterial small subunit ribosomal RNA", at positions 29 to 523 of the family's 1533-position model. The record is from RNAcentral.